CCUACGGGCGGCAGCAGUGAGGAAUAUUGGUCAAUGGCCGAGAGGCUGAACCAGCCAAGUCGCGUGAGGGAAGACGGCCCUACGGGUUGUAAACCUCUUUUGUCGGGGAGCAAAGCGAACCACGUGUGGUUCAUUGAGAGUACCCGAAGAAAAAGCAUCGGUUAACUCCGUGCCAGCAGCCGUGGUAAUACGGGGGAUGCGAGCGUUAUCCGGAUUUUUUGGGUUUAAAGGGUGGGCAGGCGGAGGUGCAAGUCGGCGGGCAAAUUUAGGGGCCCAACCCCGUACUGCCGUUGAAACUGAAUCCCUUGAGUGCGCGAGAAGUAUGCGGAAUGCGUGGUGUAGCGGUGAAAUGCAUAGAUAUCACGCAGAACUCCGAUUGCGAAGGCAGCAUACCGGCGCGCAACUGACGCUCAUGCACGAAAGCGUGGGUAUCGAACAGGAUUAGAUACCCUUGUAGUC
Molecule: ribosomal RNA, 459 nt
Filed under: uncultured bacterium
Lineage: Bacteria
Description: partial 16S ribosomal RNA
Rfam family: Bacterial small subunit ribosomal RNA
Source: RNAcentral